UAGUCAUAUGCUUGUCUCAAAGAUUAAGCCAUGCAUGUCUAAGUAUAAGCAAUCUAUACGGUGAAACUGCGAAUGGCUCAUUAAAUCAGUUAUCGUUUAUUUGAUAGUACCUUACUACUUGGAUAACCGUGGUAAUUCUAGAGCUAAUACAUGCUAAAAACCUCGACUUCGGAAGGGGUGUAUUUAUUAGAUAAAAAACCAAUGCCCUUCGGGGCUCCCUGGUGAUUCAUAAUAACUUAACGAAUCGCAUGGCCUUGUGCCGGCGAUGGUUCAUUCAAAUUUCUGCCCUAUCAACUUUCGAUGGUAGGAUAGUGGCCUACCAUGGUUUCAACGGGUAACGGGGAAUUAGGGUUCUAUUCCGGAGAGGGAGCCUGAGAAACGGCUGCCACAUCCAAGGAAGGCAGCAGGCGCGCAAAUUACCCAAUCCCGACACGGGGAGGUAGUGACAAUAAAUACUGAUACAGGGCUCAUUUGGGUCUUGUAAUUGGAAUGAGUACAAUUUAAAUCCCUUAACGAGGAACAAUU
Molecule: ribosomal RNA, 525 nt
Filed under: uncultured eukaryote
Lineage: Eukaryota
Description: SSU rRNA
Rfam family: Eukaryotic small subunit ribosomal RNA
Source: RNAcentral